UCUGUCCGUUAAAUGCCAAGGAAGUAACAAGCAAUCCACUAUAUAGUAUGCAAGGAGAGUGAUGUGUUCAUGGCAUCUCAUGGAGGAAACAUGGGCUGCGCAAUUCAGGGUCACAGAGCUUAUGAAGGACAUAAGAAGCUUAUAACACCAAACAAAAGGCAAAUGCUCCCAUACUUUUUGAACAAAACAAUGACUGAGACAGAGUCUGAGAAGAUGAUGAAGAAAUUUCACAGUCAAUCUCUAGGACAGCGAGAAAUAAGGGUUAGCAGAGCUGGAAGAGAUGUUACAAAGUAUCCUGUUCCUGAGUGUAUGUGCA
Brassica oleracea var. oleracea is the source of this 316-nucleotide long non-coding RNA. RefSeq lists it as uncharacterized. Lineage: Eukaryota; Viridiplantae; Streptophyta; Magnoliopsida; Brassicales; Brassicaceae. The record is from RefSeq and is a predicted model, not a curated record. The transcript has 3 exons.